Molecule: long non-coding RNA, 1737 nt
Organism: Siniperca chuatsi (mandarin fish)
Lineage: Eukaryota; Metazoa; Chordata; Actinopteri; Centrarchiformes; Sinipercidae
Exons: 3
Source: RefSeq, a predicted model, not a curated record
UUGACUACGCACAGCUCUGGGGUCAGAGGAUAAACUGAACUCAGCGCUCCACUUCUUCCACUUUUCAAUUAUCACUAAAAAAAAAAAAAGAUGUUGAAGUGUUUAACUGUAUUCAUUAUAAUGCGGACAGUUGUCCUUAGUUCUGGCUUUAAAAUGUAUCUUUUGUACCAAACAGGCCUUUAACAAAAAAAGUGAAUUUAAAUGUCAGUGCUUUAAGCCAUGGUUGUUGUCUACGUGGAGCAUUAGACCAAACUUAAUGCAACAUUCUAACAGUUUAAUAUGACUUGACAUGCUAUGUUAGCAAUAAGCUUAGGCGAAGCUGACAGAACCCAGCUUAGACUGGAUGUUCAGCUGAGCCUGAAAAAGUCUGGUGAAAGUUGAGCCUUCUGAGGUGACGAGAUGAGUUUGAAAUGUCCCAAAAUGGACAUUCAGCCCUGUGACUGAAAGACUAAAGGAAUGAACGAGUGAUUUUGUGUCUUUAUUAUGCGGUCAAACACAAUGGGUUUGAGAGCAAAACUUUCCACGCUGCAAUCAAAAAACCGAUUUGAGAGCAAAACUACAGACACUGCGACCAAUAAAUCAUUUUUUAUUCCAAAUAAAAUUAAUUUGUGAUUAAAAAAAAAAAAUGCUGUUGAGCUGACUCACUGUGCGGGACCUACGCUGAAAGAUGUAAGACGCGUCCCUAUUGGCCAGCCUGAGCGGAGUGACAGCUUGGCAACAUCCACUGUUAGCAGACAGGAGAAGACAGAAAGCCAGUGCACAGAUUGUUUUCCAAGCUGGCACAGAGCCUAAUCAUUUGAAUGGAUCGUCAUGCACCUGUGCAGCAGGCAAAGUGCUAUACGUCCAUCUUCUGGCCAUGCUGUUUCAGAGUGCUCAUUACAGCACGAUGCAGGUGAAGGCAGUACCACCAACUAUGGCCUGCACAAGCACUCUGCAAACAUGGCAUCGGCCACGGACACAGGAUGACUGAUCAAGAGCUCACUGAACGGUGUGGAAUACUUGACUUAUUGGAGCCACGAGAUGGCUGCAUGGCAGACAAAGGGUUCACCAUUAAGAAGAUGCUGGCUGACCGUGGGGCAAAGCUGAUCAUACGCCCCUUUAAAACCACUUCAGCAAAGAGAUGCUCUGAAAACACAAGCCUUAGCUUGGCUUAAGGUUCUUGUUGAAAGAGCAAUCAGAAGAGUUAAAGAAUAUCAUAUCUGGGACAACACUCUUCCUCUAACUUUGUCCAGGACAGUCAACCAGCUGUGGACCAACUGCUGCUUGAUGACCAACUUUCAGGGACAACUUGAUUUGAAAGGCCACAUACCUGUUGUAUAGAGUAUGAAUGUGUUAUUGUUAAAUGUUGUAGCCCCUAAUGAAUUAUCCUUUAGACAGUGGUGCAAUGUAAGUAAGUACAUUUACUCAGGUACUGAAGUACAGUUUUGACAUACUUGUACUUUACUUGAGUAUUUCCAUUUAAUGCUACUUUAUACUUUUACCCCACUACAUUUCAGAGGCAAAUAUUGUACUUUUUAUUCCAUUGCAUUUAUUUGACACUUAUAGUUACUUUUCUCAGAAAAAAACAUGAAAUACUGAUAUGAUAUGAUGCACUACCGUGCUACUAAUCUACCCAGUGGUACACAAGGUAUCUAAAAUUGGCUCCACAUUGAUGAACUACAUUAACAUCUUCUUACACGUAUUUGUUAGUGAAAAAACAGAUUAAUAUAAUAUUCUAUGAUAAAAUAACAUUUUUAA